CUACGGGCGGCACCAGUGAGGAAUAUUGCACAAUGGGGGGAACCCUGAUGCAGCAACGCCGCGUGGAGGAUGACGCAUUUCGGUGUGUAAACUCCUUUUAUAUGUCAAGAAAAUGACGGUAGCAUAUGAAUAAGCACCGGCUAACUCCGUGCCAGCAGCCGCGGUAAUACGGAGGGUGCAAGCGUUACUCGGAAUCACUGGGCGUAGAGGACGCGUAGGCGGGUUGGAAAGUCAGGUGUGAAAUCCUACAGCUUAACUGUAGAACUGCACUUGAAACUUCUAAUCUAGAGUAUGGGAGGGGGAGGUGGAAUUAGGGGUGUAGGGGUAAAAUCCGUAGAUAUCACUAGGAAUACCUAAAGCGAAGGCGAUCUCCUGGAACAUUACUGACGCUAAGGCGUGAAAGCGUGGGGAGCAAACAGGAUUAGAUACCCCCGUAGUC
This 439-nucleotide ribosomal RNA is filed under the name uncultured bacterium. Its description in RNAcentral is "partial 16S ribosomal RNA". It matches the Rfam family "Bacterial small subunit ribosomal RNA", at positions 339 to 795 of the family's 1533-position model. The record is from RNAcentral.